RNAcentral lists this ribosomal RNA (383 nucleotides) under uncultured eukaryote. RNAcentral describes it as "partial 18S ribosomal RNA". It matches the Rfam family "Eukaryotic small subunit ribosomal RNA", at positions 592 to 976 of the family's 1831-position model. The record is from RNAcentral.
CAAUAGCGUAUAUUAAAGUUGUUGCAGUUAAAAAGCUCGUAGUUGGAUUUCUGGCAGGAGCGACCGGUCACACACUCUGUGUGUGAACUUGCGUUGUCUCUGGCCAUCCUUGGGAAGAUCCUGUUUGGCAUUAAGUUGUCGGGCAGGGGAUACCCAUCGUUUACUGUGAAAAAAUUAGAGUGUUUAAAGCAGGCUUAUGCCGUUGAAUAUAUUAGCAUGGAAUAAUAAGAUAGGACUUCGGAACUAUUUUGUUGGUUUGCGUUACGAAGUAAUGAUUAAUAGGGACAGUUGGGGGUAUUCGUAUUUCGUUGUCAGAGGUGAAAUUCUUGGAUUUCCGAAAGACGAACUACUGCGAAAGCAUUUGCCAAGGAUGUUUUCAUUAA